Molecule: ribosomal RNA, 253 nt
Filed under: uncultured bacterium
Lineage: Bacteria
Description: partial 16S ribosomal RNA
Rfam family: Bacterial small subunit ribosomal RNA
Source: RNAcentral
UACGGGGGGGGCAAGCGUUGUUCGGAAUUACUGGGCGUAAAGGGCUCGUAGGUGGCCAACUAAGUCAGACGUGAAAUCCCUCAGCUUAACUGGGGAACUGCGUCUGAUACUGGAUGGCUUGAGUUUGGGAGAGGGAUGCGGAAUUCCAGGUGUAGCGGUGAAAUGCGUAGAUAUCUGGAGGAACACCGGUGGCGAAGGCGGCAUCCUGGACUAACACUGACACUGAGGAGCGAAAGCCAGGGGAGCAAACGGG